ACCAAUUGGACCCGGGGGCGGUACCCGGCGCCUCCACCAAAAUAUAAUAAAAUAAAGAUUAUAUUUUCAUGGGGGCGAAACAGGAUCGACAAGGGUGUAAAGAUUGCUCUUUUACUCGGCAUGGUACCACCGUUAUCGGACUAAAUGAGUAGUUGCAAAUGACAACUAUGCGGAAGCACGUCUCAUCGCUGCUUAAGCGAUGCGAAAGCUUCAAACUAAGUCUUAAACCGUCGCAGGUCUAAGCGGGGUUCGAAGG
Molecule: transfer-messenger RNA, 256 nt
Filed under: uncultured Bartonella sp.
Lineage: Bacteria; Pseudomonadati; Pseudomonadota; Alphaproteobacteria; Hyphomicrobiales; Bartonellaceae
Description: partial ssrA
Rfam family: Alphaproteobacteria transfer-messenger RNA
About the family: Bacterial tmRNA, also known as 10Sa RNA or SsrA, is named for its dual tRNA and mRNA-like properties.
Source: RNAcentral